Molecule: ribosomal RNA, 253 nt
Filed under: uncultured bacterium
Lineage: Bacteria
Description: partial 16S ribosomal RNA
Rfam family: Bacterial small subunit ribosomal RNA
Source: RNAcentral
UACGGAGGGUGCGAGCGUUGUCCGGAAUCACUGGGCGUAAAGGGCGCGUAGGCGGCUUUGUAAGUCGGGGGUGAAAGCCUGUGGCUCAACCACAGAAUUGCCUUCGAUACUGCAUGGCUUGAGACCGGAAGAGGUAAGUGGAACUGCGAGUGUAGAGGUGAAAUUCGUAGAUAUUCGCAAGAACACCAGUGGCGAAGGCGGCUUACUGGUCCGGUUCUGACGCUGAGGCGCGAAAGCGUGGGGAGCAAACAGG